ACGCGUAAAGCGCCGUAGGCAGGAGCGGGGGACCCAGGUAGGCGCCGGGGGCCGGACGUCGGAAGACGUACGGAAACCGGCUUGGGGUUAAGGCGCGCGACGCGAGUCGCGCGGCCGGGCACUCAUUGGCCCGAACCCGACAGCUCACCUCGUAGGCGUCGGUGAGGAGAUGU
Molecule: small RNA, 173 nt
Filed under: Streptomyces agglomeratus
Lineage: Bacteria; Bacillati; Actinomycetota; Actinomycetes; Kitasatosporales; Streptomycetaceae
Description: c-di-AMP sequence
Rfam family: c-di-AMP riboswitch aptamer (ydaO/yuaA leader)
About the family: This family represents a conserved RNA structure found upstream of the ydaO and yuaA genes in Bacillus subtilis and related genes in other bacteria.
Source: Rfam by way of RNAcentral